AUGACGCAGGCAGUGUACGGGCACCUCUCCUCCGUUCUUGGAACCGCAUCAGCGCGUACUCACUCCAUCCGCCUUGACAUCAUCGAUGAUCGGUGUUUUGACCUGCUAGAGCUCGACGCUCCGUUCUCUGAGCAUGAGAUCUGGGAGGCUAUCAAGAAAAUGCCAACGGGCAAGGCGCCUGGGCCAGACGGAUUUAGUACUUCCGAGUUCCUUUGAGCAUGUUGGCCAAUCAUUAAGGCUGACAUCUGUGAGGCCUUUGACAAGCUCUACACCAUGAAUGGGCGCGGAUUUCACAAGCUCAACGAGGCUCCGCUUACCCUCCUACCUAAGAAGUCUGAUGUCGCCACGCUCACCGACUACCGGCCCAUCAGUUUGAUCCACAUCAUCGCCAAAUUGUUUGUCAAGGUCCUCUCGCUGCGUCUCACUCCGAGGAUGGGGAAAAUCGUCUCCGCCAACCAAAGCGCAUUUAUAGCCGGGUGA
RNAcentral lists this ribosomal RNA (480 nucleotides) under Triticum aestivum (bread wheat). RNAcentral describes it as "partial small subunit ribosomal RNA". Lineage: Eukaryota; Viridiplantae; Streptophyta; Magnoliopsida; Poales; Poaceae. The record is from RNAcentral.